CCCAGUUAAAUCUGAAUUUCAGAGAAGCAAAGGGUAUUUAUAAGUAUAAUUAUGUGUCAUGAAAUGCUUGCAACCAUGGGACAUACUUAUACUAAAAAAUAUCAUUUCAUUCAUUGUUUAUCUGACAUUCAAAUUA
This 136-nucleotide microRNA precursor is filed under the name Loxodonta africana (African savanna elephant). Its description in RNAcentral is "miRNA (ENSLAFG00000032931.1)". The record is from RNAcentral. Lineage: Eukaryota; Metazoa; Chordata; Mammalia; Proboscidea; Elephantidae.